AGAAGAAAGCCUGAAUGGGAACACUUGUCACUGCAGAUGCUAGGUUUGAUAUGACAAUGAAAUAAGACAGCAAUGCAGAGACCACUGCAUUUGAGCCUAUCUUAGCUACACAACUCAGUGGCCGAAUGCCUGUCCUUGACCAUCUCAAAGAGCCCUUAAAGAUGGUCAAGUAUCAGGACAAGAACAUGUUUGCUCUUGAAGUUCAUUGUGCAUGCACUGGGAAGAGUCAUUAGAAUCAUCAGAAGGCGCCUUGUGAAGGGGAUACAUUAGGCUGAGUGCACCUAGAACAACACUUCACAAAUGGUGCACCUGAAUCGGACAGCUCUAGGCAACUAACUUGAUACUCUGACAAUGAUUCAGGAAUAUCAUCCAAUCUUCAAAGUCAGUUUCAUUUUAAAAGUGAAGCGAAUUAACUGGAUGGUCACACACUGAUUUUUUGAAUGGAUUCAAUAUCCUGGCCCAGAAUGAUCAACAUUUAAUCUACUAAUGGUUUUAACUUAAGAGAAAUAAACAGCUCAAGGAGUCAUAUGACUGUUUUAGAUGCCCCUUAAUAAUACUUUAAUUGAACUACUUUUAUAAAAAUUUCCUUAUUCUGCUGAGAGCAGAUGGCUGUAUUCUGGAAGCACAUUUAGCUAAUAGUUUCUCUCCCUCCCUCGCUUCCUCUCCCUCUCUCUCUCUCUCUCUCUCUCCUUUCUUCUGAUAGGGAAUAGUUAGUUCAUAUCUGUAUCAAUAUAUGCCAGCCCAGGGCCAACUCCAAAAGUAAAUGGGAUAUUUGGCCCAGGGGUCGGGGAGCCAACAAAACAGCAGCUGAAAGUCUCUUGCUGUUGCCUAGUAACUAAUACACAUCCCUUUGCCUUGGCUCAGCAAAAUUGCCAAAUCAGAUUCAACUUGGAUAUCACAAGCCACUGCACACCUCACCAUGACAGUGUCUGCAACAAGGCAAGAAAGGAAGCAUCUUGUCAAGCGAAAGGCACAUCGCCUGCACCCCCCCACCCGCCGGGAUGUCCCAGCACUCUCUGUGCAGGGAUUGCCAUUUGGAUUUUCUGCUUCAGGAAUAAAAAUGUCUUGGGCCUUCUCCUGUCCUGAACUUUGACAUUGGCUCACUAUCCAUGAUACUGAACUUGGCUCCCACCUUCAUGUCACAACAAUCACAUCCCUACAGGCAGUGAAAAGGAUGGAUUCCAUCAAACUAACCGGUUUGCUAGCCACAUGCCCACUGUGAAAUGGAUCAUAGCCUGUCAAGCAGACUCCUGGCUAAUGCAUUGGGACUUUUGGAGCAAAUAGGUGUCUACAGUAGUUUCAUGAAUGUUGUUAAAAAUGCCUUCAAGUCAUAAACUGUCCAAUUUGUCUUC
Long non-coding RNA from Hemicordylus capensis (graceful crag lizard), 1352 nucleotides. RefSeq lists it as uncharacterized. Lineage: Eukaryota; Metazoa; Chordata; Lepidosauria; Squamata; Cordylidae. The record is from RefSeq and is a predicted model, not a curated record. The transcript has 2 exons.